CGAGCGCGUAAACGGAAGAGCGAGCGUGCCACGCCUCCGCCGCCAUACUGGAAUGAGUUGUGUUGACUUUUUGUAAACGUUCGCGUUUGGCUUCAGGAAACUUUGUUCUUGGACGCUCGGACGGUUCUGUUCUCUAUAAAUCAAAAUGAGCAUGGAAGAGGAUGCGGAGGUGCACACCAAGACUGGCAAAAAAAGCAAUGUGCUGCCGCUGUGGGGCAACGAGCGCACCAUGAACAUGAACAACCUCAUCCUCACCAACAUUCAAGCUUCACAUUACUUUAAAAUGAAUUUAUACGAGCUGAAGACUUACCACGAAGUGGUCGACGAAAUCUACUACAAAGUCAGCCAUUUGGAGCCCUGGGAGAAGGGCAGUCGGAAAACCGCGGGUCAGACGGGCAUGUGCGGCGGCGUCCGAGGGGUCGGCGCCGGCGGCAUCGUGUCCACGGCUUACUGCCUCCUGUACAAAUUGUUCACCCUAAAGCUGACGAGGAAGCAGCUGAACGGGCUGCUCACCCAUCCUGACUCGCCAUUCAUAAGGGGGCUCGGAUUUAUGUACAUUAGAUACACUCAACCUCCUGCUGAUCUCUGGGACUGGUAUGAUGAAUUUUUGGAGGAUGAAGAGGAAUUGGACGUGAAGGCCGGCGGCGGGCAGGUGAUGACGAUCGGCAACAUGCUGCGCCACUUCCUGACCAAGCUCGAGUGGUUCUCGACCCUCUUCCCGCGCAUCCCCGUGCCCAUUCAGCAAAAGCUGGAGCGUCAGUUGAGUGACAGAUUCCCAGCACCCCCGCCAGGAGCUGCUGCGCACGCUGCUGUGCAGAGGGCCCCUGAGCGGCGCAGGGACUUUGAGGAGUACCCUGAGGAACGAGCGCCGCCGCCACCACCACCUAGAGUCAGACGGUCGCCUAGUCACGGACGUGAUUCUCCAGCCCAUAAAAGAAGCCGAGCCUCGCCGCCGCCAAGCAGGAGUGACCGACACAAAGAACGGCGCAGCAGGAGCAGAAGUAGGGACAGAGAAAGAGAGAGGCACGGAGACCGCGGUCGUAAUAGAGACCGAAGCAGUAGAAAUGGACACAGCAGACAUCACAAAUCUUCUAAAGAUGACCAGUGAUUCGAGGCACCGGUCGCAUAGCAGUCGAGACUAUGCCUCGGAGUUGCUCAAAGAAAGAGAGCGGCAAAGACGUGAAAGGGACGGCAGCAGGUGAGAUCGCCGCCACCCUCUCACCGGUAGACAAAUUCAGAGAGCAGCGUUUGUGUAACGGACGAUGUCUAAUGUAAUAUAUAUUUCCUGCUAAGCGA
Molecule: RNA transcript, 1296 nt
Organism: Cloeon dipterum
Lineage: Eukaryota; Metazoa; Arthropoda; Insecta; Ephemeroptera; Baetidae
Gene name: pre-mRNA-splicing factor 38B
Exons: 10
Source: RefSeq, a predicted model, not a curated record